This 497-nucleotide ribosomal RNA is filed under the name uncultured bacterium. Its description in RNAcentral is "partial 16S ribosomal RNA". It matches the Rfam family "Bacterial small subunit ribosomal RNA", at positions 28 to 507 of the family's 1533-position model. The record is from RNAcentral.
GAUGAACGCUGGCGGCGUGCCUAAUACAUGCAAGUCGAGCGAACAGACGAGGAGCUUGCUCCUCUGACGUUAGCGGCGGACGGGUGAGUAACACGUGGAUAACCUACCUAUAAGACUGGGAUAACUUCGGGAAACCGGAUCUAAUACCGGAUAAUAUAUUGAACCGCAUGGUUCAAUAGUGAAAGACGGUUUUGCUGUCACUUAUAGAUGGAUCCGCGCCGCAUUAGCUAGUUGGUAAGGUAACGGCUUACCAAGGCGACGAUGCGUAGCCGACCUGAGAGGGUGAUCGGCCACACUGGAACUGAGACACGGUCCAGACUCCUACGGGAGGCAGCAGUAGGGAAUCUUCCGCAAAGGGCGAAAGCCUGACGGAGCCACGCCGCGUGAGUGAUGAAGGUCUUCGGAUCGUAAAACUCUGUUAUUAGGGAAGAACAAAUGUGUAAGUAACUAUGCACGUCUUGACGGUACCUAAUCAGAAAGCCACGGCUAACUACGUG